AUGAUUAGUGGCGAACGGGUGAGUAACACGUGAGUAACCUGCCCUUAACUUCGGGAUAAGCCUGGGAAACCGGGUCUAAUACCGGAUACGACGGAACACCGCAUGGUGGUCCGUGGAAAGCUUUAUGCGGUUUUGGAUGGACUCGCGGCCUAUCAGCUAGUUGGUUGGGGUAACGGCCCACCAAGGCGACGACGGGUAGCCGGCCUGAGAGGGUGACCGGCCACACUGGGACUGAGACACGGCCCAGACUCCUACGGGAGGCAGCAGUGGGGAAUAUUGCACAAUGGGCGAAAGCCUGAUGCAGCGACGCCGCGUGAGGGACGAAGGCCUUCGGGUUGUAAACCUCUUUCAGCAGGGAAGAAGCGAAAGUGACGGUACCUGCAGAAGAAGCGCCGGCUAACUACGUGCCAGCAGCCGCGGUAAUACGUAGGGCGCAAGCGUUAUCCGGAAUUAUUGGGCGUAAAGAGCUCGUAGGCGGUUUGUCGCGUCUGCUGUGAAAGCCCGGGGCUCAACCCCGGGUCUGCAGUGGGUACGGGCAGACUAGAGUGCAGUAGGGGAGACUGGAAUUCCUGGUGUAGCGGUGAAAUGCGCAGAUAUCAGGAGGAACACCGAUGGCGAAGGCAGGUCUCUGGGCUGUAACUGACGCUGAGGAGCGAAAGCAUGGGGAGCGAACAGGAUUAGAUACCCUGGUAGUCCAUGCCGUAAACGUUGGGCACUAGGUGUGGGGGACAUUCCACGUUUUCCGCGCCGUAGCUAACGCAUUAAGUGCCCCGCCUGGGGAGUACGGCCGCAAGGCUAAAACUCAAAGGAAUUGACGGGGGCCCGCACAAGCGGCGGAGCAUGCGGAUUAAUUCGAUGCAACGCGAAGAACCUUACCAAGGCUUGACAUGAACCGGAAAGGCCUGGAAACAGGUCCCCCACUUGUGGCCGGUUUACAGGUGGUGCAUGGUUGUCGUCAGCUCGUGUCGUGA
This 971-nucleotide ribosomal RNA is filed under the name Arthrobacter sp. LS18-MRL. Its description in RNAcentral is "bacterial SSU rRNA". It matches the Rfam family "Bacterial small subunit ribosomal RNA", at positions 88 to 1070 of the family's 1533-position model. The record is from RNAcentral. Lineage: Bacteria; Bacillati; Actinomycetota; Actinomycetes; Micrococcales; Micrococcaceae.